UACAGAGGAUGCAAGCGUUAUCCGGAAUGAUUGGGCGUAAAGCGUCUGUAGGUGGCUUUUUAAGUCCGCCGUCAAAUCCCAGGGCUCAACUCUGGACAGGCGGUGGAAACUACCAAGCUGGAGUACGGUAGGGGCAGAGGGAAUUUCCGGUGGAGCGGUGAAAUGCGUAGAUAUCGAGAGGAACACCAGUGGCGAAGGCGAGUCCCUGGACAAAACCUGACACUGAGGCACGAAAGCUAGGGGAGCAAACAGG
Molecule: ribosomal RNA, 253 nt
Filed under: uncultured bacterium
Lineage: Bacteria
Description: partial 16S ribosomal RNA
Rfam family: Bacterial small subunit ribosomal RNA
Source: RNAcentral